AUUUCCUACCCCAAGGUUCCUGGACUGGACCUGUUCCUCGCAGUAUAUAUAUGUUUACACAUAUAUAUAUUGAAGUCGCCCUGAGCAUUGUCCAAAUAUACAGGACAAACACUCAAGGUCAGUAUCUACAUAUGUUACAUACUUCAUUUCUAGAGACAAUCCCCCUUCAGGUUAGAGAACUGGCUUCUUAGGAUCAGGUGCUGGCCCUAGCUUUCCCAAGUAAUACUACGGUCCCACGAGGUGUACACCCCACCUCAUACACGGAGGUUCAGCCCCACGACCAAAUCAUAGCUAGCCACCUUGCUCGCCCUUCUUUAGGGCUACAGUUAGGGCUUCCCAAGUCACGGCCACACGUUUUGAAUCUCUUACGGUCACCGAGAGGCCAACAUCCUGCCACCUCGUUCUGGUGGCCACAAAAUCCCCUUGGCCCAAUCAUAGGUAGAGCCUCUUACCGCCACUUGGCACUAGCAGGGCCUCGCCUGUCACUUGGUUCUAGGUAAAUUCUUCGCCUCGGCACUCGCUAGCAGACCAGUUCUCCGGAGGUCUCAUCCCACCUCCACUAUACCCUACUUAUCCAAAUCAUUAUUCCUUUCAGAAUGUCUAAAGAACCGACCAUCGAUCCCCAUCAGAUGAUAUA
Non-coding RNA from Pelobates cultripes (western spadefoot toad), 637 nucleotides. The record is from the annotation of a GenBank genome assembly. NCBI's taxonomy places the organism in Eukaryota, Metazoa, Chordata, Amphibia, Anura, Pelobatidae.